Molecule: signal recognition particle RNA, 102 nt
Filed under: Bernardetia litoralis DSM 6794
Lineage: Bacteria; Pseudomonadati; Bacteroidota; Cytophagia; Cytophagales; Bernardetiaceae
Description: Bacterial signal recognition particle RNA
Rfam family: Bacterial small signal recognition particle RNA
About the family: The signal recognition particle (SRP) is a universally conserved ribonucleoprotein involved in the co-translational targeting of proteins to membranes. Archaeal SRP consists of a 7S RNA and homologues of the eukaryotic SRP19 and SRP54 proteins. In most bacteria, the SRP consists of a 4.5S RNA and the Ffh protein (a homologue of the eukaryotic SRP54 protein).
Source: RNAcentral
GCAUCGUGGUCGGCGUGACUAGCUCCUGUUGAACUCCCCCAGGGUCGGAAGGCAGCAAGGGUAGAUAGUUGAGCGGUGUAUUGUCGGCUACAUUUUUUUUAG